Molecule: ribosomal RNA, 558 nt
Filed under: Curvularia inaequalis
Lineage: Eukaryota; Fungi; Ascomycota; Dothideomycetes; Pleosporales; Pleosporaceae
Description: eukaryotic LSU rRNA
Rfam family: 5.8S ribosomal RNA (bases 189-342)
Source: RNAcentral
CCUUAGGACUGCGGAGGGAUCAUUACACAAUACAAUAUGAAGGCCGUACGCGGCUGGAUUAUUUUAUUACCCUUGUCUUUUGCGCACUUGUUGUUUCCUGGGCGGGUUCGCCCGCCACCAGGACCACACCAUAAACCUUUUUUAUGCAGUUGCAAUCAGCGUCAGUACAACAAAUGUAAAUCAUUUACAACUUUCAACAACGGAUCUCUUGGUUCUGGCAUCGAUGAAGAACGCAGCGAAAUGCGAUACGUAGUGUGAAUUGCAGAAUUCAGUGAAUCAUCGAAUCUUUGAACGCACAUUGCGCCCUUUGGUAUUCCAAAGGGCAUGCCUGUUCGAGCGUCAUUUGUACCCUCAAGCUUUGCUUGGUGUUGGGCGUUUUUUGUCUUUGGUUGCCAAAGACUCGCCUUAAAACGAUUGGCAGCCGGCCUCCUGGUUUCGCAGCGCAGCACAUUUUUGCGCUUGCAAUCAGCAACAGAGGGCGGCACUCCAUCAAGACUCCAUUUUCACGUUUGACCUCGGAUCAGGUAGGGAUACCCGCUGAACUUAAGCAUAUCAUAA